Molecule: ribosomal RNA, 2109 nt
Filed under: Triticum aestivum (bread wheat)
Lineage: Eukaryota; Viridiplantae; Streptophyta; Magnoliopsida; Poales; Poaceae
Description: partial small subunit ribosomal RNA
Source: RNAcentral
AUGUGGAACGGCUCAACCCAUUUUCCUAAUAAUUUAGCAAUUUAUAUUUCCUCCUCAACUCGAUCAUUUCUCACGCCUAUAAAAAGCUCAGCAACCCAGAGCAGAACCUCCACGGCAACAACCCCUCCGAAAAGCGGAAAAGCCACGAUGACCAGGCCUCACACUAGCAGUAGUGAGUCACCACUGAUGGUGCAUCUGCUGCUGUGUUGCACGUUUCUCCUGGCCUUGGCUGCUCCGGCGACCACCGCAGCCUCCGUUCCCGCCCCUGCUCUGACCCCGGCGAAGCAGAACAUGACGUGGGACGUGGAGUACAUCCUGUGGUCGCCGGACUGCCAGCAGCGGGUGAUGAUCGGGAUCAACGGCAAGUUCCCCGGCCCGAACAUCACCGCCCGCGCCGGCGAGACCCUCAGCAUCACCGUCAACAACAAGCUGCACACGGAGGGGCUGGUGAUCCACUGGCACGGGAUGCGGCAGGUGGGCACGCCGUGGGCGGACGGGACGGCGUCCAUCUCCCAGUGCGCCAUCAGCCCGGGGGACUCGUUCACCUACGAGUUCGUCGCCGACAAGCCGGGGACCUACUUCUACCACGGGCACUUCGGGAUGCAGCGGGCGGCGGGGCUGUACGGGUGGCUCGUCGUGAACGCCACGGCGGAGCAGGACGAGCCGUACCGGAGGGACUACGACGGCGGCGAGCUCCGCAUGCUGCUCAGCGACUGGUACCACGACAACGUGUACGCGCAGGCGGCCGGGCUGGAGCAAAAGUACGAUCACUUCCAGUGGGUCGGCGAGCCCCAGACGAUCCUCAUCAACGGGCGAGGGCAAUACGACUGCAUGCUGGGCGCGGUCACGAGGUUCCACCGGGGCAUCGACAGGCGCGCCAGGACCUGCGUGAGGGGCAAGGAGGCCAAGCUGUGCGGCGACGAGGAGAGGUGCCUCCGGCGGAGCGAGUGCGGGCCCUACUGCCCGCAGAGCCAGUGCGCCCCCGUGGUGUUCGACGUGGAGCCUGGCAGGACGUACCGGCUCAGGAUCGCCAGCACCACCUCACUCUCCGCCCUCAACGUGCAGGUCCAAGGGCACGACCUGACGGUGGUGGAGGCCGACGGCAACCCGGUGGAGCCGUUCACCGUCCCAGACAUCGACAUCUACUCCGGCGAGAGCUACUCCGUGCUCCUCACCACCAACCACACGCCGACGUUCUACAGGUCUGGGUCCUUCUGGAUCUCCGUCGGCGUGAGAGGACGGCCCCCCAAGACGCUGCCGGCCACCGCCAUCCUAAGGUACACCAACAGCAGGUUCCCGUGGCCAGGCAGCCCGCCCCCGGCGACUCCGGCGUGGUACGACCUGCAGCGCAGCAAGGACUUCACCCACAGGAUCAAUGCCCGGAGGAACGCCGCCGAGGCGCCGCCGCCGCCGCGGACCGAGCAGGUGAACCGGACGAUCGUGAUGCUCAACACGCAGACCCUGGUGGGCGGGCACAUGAAGUGGGCCGUCAACAACGUGUCCCUGACGCUCCCGGCCACCCCGUACCUCGGCGCCUACUUCUACGGCGUGCAGGGCAGCGCCUUCGACGCCUCCGGCGAGGCGCCCAACGGGUUCCCCGGCGGCUACGACAUCGACCUGCCGCCGGCGAACAACAGCUACGAGACGACGCUCAGCGACCGGGUGUACGAGCUGCCGCACGGCGCCGUGGUGGACGUGGUGCUCCAGAACGCGGACAUGCGGAGGGACAACGACAGCGAGACGCACCCGUGGCACCUGCACGGCCACGACUUCUGGGUGCUGGGGUACGGCGAGGGGCGGUACACCAGCGGCCGCGAGCGCCUCAACACGGAGGACCCGCCGCUGCGGAACACGGUGGUGGUGUUCCCGCACGGCUGGACGGCGAUCCGGUUCGUCGCCGACAACGUGGGCGCGUGGGCGUUCCACUGCCACAUCGAGCCGCACCUCCACAUGGGCAUGGGCGCCGUCUUCGUUGAAGGGGCCCAUAAGAUACGCGAGCUCGACGUGCCCAGGGAGGCCAUGAUGUGCGGGGUGAUCAGGACGACGGCCGCAGCCCUGACUCCCGCUAAGCCAGGCUCGUCGGCGCCGGCGCCAUCGGCUCAUCGAUAA